UACAGCCAUACCACCUACAGUACAGACUAGGUAUUUCAUCUGAAGGUAAGCAAGUUUGGGCCCGGCUAGUACUUACAUGGGAGAUCAACUAGGAAAGCUGGGUGGCUACUGGGA
This 114-nucleotide ribosomal RNA is filed under the name Paramormyrops kingsleyae. The record is from RNAcentral. Lineage: Eukaryota; Metazoa; Chordata; Actinopteri; Osteoglossiformes; Mormyridae.